GAGUUUGAUCCUGGCUCAGAUUGAACGCUGGCGGCAUGCCUUACACAUGCAAGUCGAACGGUAACAGGUCUUCGGAUGCUGACGAGUGGCGAACGGGUGAGUAAUACAUCGGAACGUGCCCGAUCGUGGGGGAUAACGAAGCGAAAGCUUUGCUAAUACCGCAUAAGAUCUACGGAUGAAAGCAGGGGACCGCAAGGCCUUGCGCGAACGGAGCGGCCGAUGGCAGAUUAGGUAGUUGGUGGGAUAAAAGCUUACCAAGCCGACGAUCUGUAGCUGGUCUGAGAGGACGACCAGCCACACUGGGACUGAGACACGGCCCAGACUCCUACGGGAGGCAGCAGUGGGGAAUUUUGGACAAUGGGCGAAAGCCUGAUCCAGCCAUGCCGCGUGCAGGAUGAAAGGCC
This 404-nucleotide ribosomal RNA is filed under the name uncultured microorganism. RNAcentral describes it as "bacterial SSU rRNA". It matches the Rfam family "Bacterial small subunit ribosomal RNA", at positions 9 to 417 of the family's 1533-position model. The record is from RNAcentral.